RNAcentral lists this ribosomal RNA (486 nucleotides) under uncultured Mycobacterium sp. Its description in RNAcentral is "bacterial SSU rRNA". It matches the Rfam family "Bacterial small subunit ribosomal RNA", at positions 1 to 507 of the family's 1533-position model. Lineage: Bacteria; Bacillati; Actinomycetota; Actinomycetes; Mycobacteriales; Mycobacteriaceae. The record is from RNAcentral.
GUAGUUUGACUCCGUGGCUACGAGGACGACGCUGGCGGCGUGCUUAACACAUGCAAGUCGAACGGAAAGGCCCUUCGGGGUACUCGAGUGGCGAACGGGUGAGUAACACGUGGGUGAUCUGCCCUGCACUUUGGGAUAAGCCUGGGAAACUGGGUCUAAUACCGAAUAGGACCACGCGCUUCAUGGUGUGUGGUGGAAAGCGUUUUGCGGUGUGGGAUGGGCCCGCGGCCUAUCAGCUUGUUGGUGGGGUAAUGGCCUACCAAGGCGACGACGGGUAGCCGGCCUGAGAGGGUGACCGGCCACACUGGGACUGAGAUACGGCCCAGACUCCUACGGGAGGCAGCAGUGGGGAAUAUUGCACAAUGGGCGCAAGCCUGAUGCAGCGACGCCGCGUGGGGGAUGACGGCCUUCGGGUUGUAAACCUCUUUCAAUAGGGACGAAGCGCAAGUGACGGUACCUAUAGAAGAAGCACCGGCCAACUACGUG